RNAcentral lists this ribosomal RNA (541 nucleotides) under uncultured bacterium. RNAcentral describes it as "bacterial SSU rRNA". It matches the Rfam family "Bacterial small subunit ribosomal RNA", at positions 777 to 1317 of the family's 1533-position model. The record is from RNAcentral.
AAUAGAUACCCGGGUAGUCCACGCCGUAAACGAUGUCGACUUGGAGGUUGUUCCCUUGAGGAGUGGCUUCCGGAGCUAACGCGUUAAGUCGACCGCCUGGGGAGUACGGCCGCAAGGUUAAAACUCAAAUGAAUUGACGGGGGGCCCGCACAAGCGGUGGAGCAUGUGGUUUAAUUCGAUGCAACGCGAAGAACCUUACCUACUCUUGACAUCCACGGAACUUAGCAGAGAUGCUUUGGUGCCUUCGGGAACCGUGAGACAGGUGCUGCAUGGCUGUCGUCAGCUCGUGUUGUGAAAUGUUGGGUUAAGUCCCGCAACGAGCGCAACCCUUAUCCUUUGUUGCCAGCGGUCCGGCCGGGAACUCAAAGGAGACUGCCAGUGAUAAACUGGAGGAAGGUGGGGAUGACGUCAAGUCAUCAUGGCCCUUACGAGUAGGGCUACACACGUGCUACAAUGGCGCAUACAAAGAGAAGCGACCUCGCGAGAGCAAGCGGACCCCAUAAAGUGCGUCGUAGUCCGGAUUGGAGUCUGCAACUCGACU